UUGGAGGGCAAGUCUGGUGCCAGCAGCCGCGGUAAUUCCAGCUCCAAUAGCGUAUAUUAAAGUUGUUGCAGUUAAAAAGCUCGUAGUUGAAUUUCGGGAUUAGUACGUUGGUCGUGCCUUCGGUACGUACUGGUGUUACUGAUUCCUACCUUCUGACGAACCAUCAUGUCAUUAAUUUGGUGUGGUGGGGAAUCAGGACUGUUACUUUGAAAAAAUUAGAGUGUUUAAAGCAGGCUCGCGCUUGAAUACAUUAGCAUGGAAUAAUGAAAUAGGACGUUGACCCUAUUUUGUUGGUUUCUAGGAUUGACGUAAUGAUUAAUAGGGAUAGUUGGGGGCAUUAGUAUUCAAUUGUCAGAGGUGAAAUUCUUGGAUUUAUUGAAGACUAACUACUGCGAAAGCAUUUGCCAAGGAUGUUUUCAUUAAUCAAGAACGAAAGUUAGGGGAUCGAAGACGAUCAGAUACCGUCGUAGUCUUAACCAUAAACUAUGCCGACUAGGGAUCGGAUGAUGUUAUUUUUAAUGACUCAUUCGGCGCUUAC
Molecule: ribosomal RNA, 538 nt
Filed under: uncultured Glomeraceae
Lineage: Eukaryota; Fungi; Glomeromycota; Glomeromycetes; Glomerales; Glomeraceae
Description: SSU rRNA
Rfam family: Eukaryotic small subunit ribosomal RNA
Source: RNAcentral